AUUGAACGCUGGCGGCAUGCUUUACACAUGCAAGUCGAACGGCAGCGCGGGCUUCGGCCUGGCGGCGAGUGGCGAACGGGUGAGUAAUACAUCGGAACGUGCCCAGUAGUGGGGGAUAGCUCGGCGAAAGCCGGAUUAAUACCGCAUACGACCUGAGGGUGAAAGCGGGGGAUCUUCGGACCUCGCGCUAUUGGAGCGGCCGAUGGCAGAUUAGCUAGUUGGUGGGGUAAAGGCCUACCAAGGCGACGAUCUGUAGCUGGUCUGAGAGGACGACCAGCCACAUUGGAACUGGGCCACGGCCAAGACUCCUACGGGAGGCAGCAGUGGGGAAUUUUGGACAAUGGGCGAAAGCCUGAUCCAGCAAUGCCGCGUGUGUGAUGAAGGCCUUCGGGUUGUAAAGCACUUUUGGCGGGAACGAAAAGGACUGUGCCAAUACCACGGUUCGAUGACGGUACCCGCAGAAUAAGCACCGGCUAACUACGUG
RNAcentral lists this ribosomal RNA (484 nucleotides) under uncultured bacterium. Its description in RNAcentral is "partial 16S ribosomal RNA". It matches the Rfam family "Bacterial small subunit ribosomal RNA", at positions 29 to 507 of the family's 1533-position model. The record is from RNAcentral.